CCAUGUUGCACAUCAUUUUAUUGUGGCACUUGCAGUUUAAUAAAAAUUUAUAUAAUUAAUAUUUACAUACUGUAAACAGGACGAGUUCAAUGAAGGACAAACCCUCGUCUGGAUUUGAUGGCCAUGGCGGCGACAUAUUACUUCCUUAUUUGUGGGCCGUGCCGCCCGGCGACCUUUCACCUUUCUCCGUCACGCUUCGAAAAAGUGAAACAUUAGGCCCAGGAAUCGCAUUGUGUGUGUGUGGCAUAAGUGUGUGUGCGUGUGUUUCGCAUUAAAACAAUGACGAGGCGAAAACAUUUUUAGCGCUGACAGCGAGCCAAACAUCCGCCAGAUAAAAAUGCCCGCGAACAAGCACACAAAUUUGAUUGAAUCAACGGUGGCGCAUCGUCCUGUCCUGUCCUGUCCCGUCUAUAUCCCUCGUCCUGGCCAUUGUUUCCCCCCACCACACUACUGAUGCAGUGAGUCCUGGCCGCUAGCUAGUCGUUCUGGGAUGAUAAUGAUAAGCGCAUAAAACCAUUAAGUGAUUCCACUUAAAUGAGCACGUUAGGAGGACUGCGAAGCUUGUUUGGACCGAAUUAUUCGCUUACUGGCUGAUCUACCCUCGCGUACACUUGGCAAAAAUUAUUUUAGAAUAUUCUAAUUAAUAUUUUAAAUGUGUUUUAUAAAAACGGACAAUAGUACU
Molecule: non-coding RNA, 682 nt
Organism: Drosophila melanogaster (fruit fly)
Lineage: Eukaryota; Metazoa; Arthropoda; Insecta; Diptera; Drosophilidae
Source: Ensembl